RNAcentral lists this RNase P RNA (378 nucleotides) under Mesobacillus campisalis. RNAcentral's name for it is "Bacillus campisalis Bacterial RNase P class B". It matches the Rfam family "Bacterial RNase P class B". Rfam says of the family: Ribonuclease P (RNase P) is a ubiquitous endoribonuclease, found in archaea, bacteria and eukarya as well as chloroplasts and mitochondria. Its best characterised activity is the generation of mature 5'-ends of tRNAs by cleaving the 5'-leader elements of precursor-tRNAs. Lineage: Bacteria; Bacillati; Bacillota; Bacilli; Caryophanales; Bacillaceae. The record is from Rfam by way of RNAcentral.
GCGUUCGGGUAACCGCUGCAGUUUUUCUGCAGAGGAAAGUCCAUGCUCGCACGGGCUGAGAUGUCCGUAGUGUUCGUGCCUGGCCAAUUCAUAAGCCAGGGCAGCCUGAUUGGCUGACGGCAGGGAAAAUGCCUAAGUCUUCGGAUAUGGCAUGAAUACCUAUAAAAGUGCCACAGUGACGUAGCCUUCCCAGAAAUGGGAAGGGUGGAACGAGGUAAACCCCGCGAGCGAGAAACCCAAAUAAUGGUAGGGGCACUUUCCUGGAGGAAAUGAACGAAGGGAAGGACAGGUGAUGCCACCUGUAGAUAGAUGGUUACCACCGGAGUGCGAGGCUAAUUGCCGGUCGCAGCACAAUGGAACAAAACAUGGCUUACAGAG